UGAACGAAAAAGAGGGAAAGAGCUUGCUCCUUUCCGGAAUUGAGUGGCAAACGGGUGAGUAACACGUAAACAACCCUGCCCUUCAGGAUGGGGACAACAGACGGAAACGACUGCUAAUACCGAAUAAGUUCCAAGGGCCGCAUGGCCCAUGGAAGAAAAGGUGGCCUCUACCUGUAAGCUAUCGCCUGAAGAGGGGUUUGCGUCUGAUUAGCUGGUUGGAGGGGUAACGGCCCACCAAGGCGACGAUCAGUAGCCGGUCUGAGAGGAUGAACGGCCACACUGGAACUGAGACACGGUCCAGACUCCUACGGGAGGCAGCAGUGGGGAAUCUUCCGCAAUGGGCGAAAGCCUGACGGAGCAACGCCGCGUGAGUGAUGACGGCCUUCGGGUUGUAAAACUCUGUGAUCCGGGACGAAAAGGCAGAGUGCGAAGAACAAACUGCAUUGACGGUACCGGAAAAGCAAGCCACGGCUAACUACGUGCCAGCAGCCGCGGUAAUACGUAGGUGGCAAGCGUUGUCCGGAAUUAUUGGGCGUAAAGCGCGCGCAGGCGGCUUCCCAAGUCCCUCUUAAAAGUGCGGGGCUUAACCCCGUGAUGGGAAGGAAACUGGGAAGCUGGAGUAUCGGAGAGGAAAGUGGAAUUCCUAGUGUAGCGGUGAAAUGCGUAGAGAUUAGGAAGAACACCGGUGGCGAAGGCGACUUUCUGGACGAAAACUGACGCUGAGGCGCG
RNAcentral lists this ribosomal RNA (729 nucleotides) under Dialister invisus. Its description in RNAcentral is "bacterial SSU rRNA". It matches the Rfam family "Bacterial small subunit ribosomal RNA", at positions 63 to 755 of the family's 1533-position model. The record is from RNAcentral. Lineage: Bacteria; Bacillati; Bacillota; Negativicutes; Veillonellales; Veillonellaceae.